AGUGAACGCUGGCGGUAGGCCUAACACAUGCAAGUCGAACGGCAGCACAGUAAGAGCUUGCUCUUACGGGUGGCGAGUGGCGGACGGGUGAGGAAUACAUCGGAAUCUACUUUUUCGGGGGGGAUAACGUAGGGAAACUUACGCUAAUACCGCAUACGUCCUACGGGUGAAAGCAGGGGAUCUUCGGACCUUGCGCGAUUGAAUGAGCCGAUGUCGGAUUAGCUAGUUGGCGGGGUAAAGGCCCACCAAGGCGACGAUCCGUAGCUGGUCUGAGAGGAUGAUCAGCCACACUGGAACUGAGACACGGUCCAGACUCCUACGGGAGGCAGCAGUGGGGAAUAUUGGACAAUGGGCGCAAGCCUGAUCCAGCCAUGCCGCGUGGGUGAAGAAGGCCUUCGGGUUGUAAAGCCCUUUUGUUGGGAAAGAAAAGCAGCAGGUUAAUACCCCGCUGUUCUGACGGUACCCAAAGAAUAAGCACCGGCUAACUUCGUG
This 492-nucleotide ribosomal RNA is filed under the name uncultured bacterium. RNAcentral's name for it is "partial 16S ribosomal RNA". It matches the Rfam family "Bacterial small subunit ribosomal RNA", at positions 29 to 507 of the family's 1533-position model. The record is from RNAcentral.